GAUGAACGCUGGCGGCGUGCCUAAUACAUGCAAGUCGAGCGAACAGACGAGGAGCUUGCUCCUCUGACGUUAGCGGCGGACGGGUGAGUAACACGUGGAUAACCUACCUAUAAGACUGGGAUAACUUCGGGAAACCGGAGCUAAUACCGGAUAAUAUAUUGAACCGCAUGGUUCAAUAGUGAAAGACGGUUUUGCUGUCACUUAUAGAUGGAUCCGCGCCGCAUUAGCUAGUUGGUAAGGUAACGGCUUACCAAGGCAACGAUGCGUAGCCGACCUGAGAGGGUGAUCGGCCACACUGGAACUGAGACACGGUCCAGACUCCUACGGGAGGCAGCAGUAGGGAAUCUUCCGCAAUGGGCGAAAGCUUGACGGAGCAACACCGCGUGAGUGAUGAAGGUCUUCGGAUCGUAAAGCUCUGUUAUUAGGGAAGAACAAAUGUGUAUGUAACUAUGCACGUCUUGACGGUACCUAAUCAGAAAGCCACGGCUAACUACGUG
Molecule: ribosomal RNA, 497 nt
Filed under: uncultured bacterium
Lineage: Bacteria
Description: partial 16S ribosomal RNA
Rfam family: Bacterial small subunit ribosomal RNA
Source: RNAcentral